RNAcentral lists this ribosomal RNA (25 nucleotides) under Cryptomonas sp. SAG 977-2f. RNAcentral describes it as "partial 5.8S ribosomal RNA". The record is from RNAcentral. Lineage: Eukaryota; Cryptophyceae; Cryptomonadales; Cryptomonadaceae.
GCACGCCUGUUUGAGCAGCGCUACC